AGAAUCAACGCUGGCGGCGUGCCUCAGACAUGCAAGUCGAACGAUUAAACUUUCCUUCGGGAAAGAUAUAAAGUGGCGCACGGGUGAGUAACACGUAAGUAAUCUACCUUCGAGUGGGGAAUAACGUCCGGAUACGGACGCUAAUACCGCAUAAUGCAGCGGCAUCGCAAGAUGACAGUUGUUAAAGGAAUUUAUUUCGCUUGAAGAGGAGCUUGCGGCAGAUUAGCUUGUUGGUAAGGUAACGGCUUACCAAGGCUACGAUCUGUAACCGGUCUAAGAGGACGGUCGGUCACACUGACACUGAAUAACGGGUCAGACUCCUACGGAGGCAGCAGUCGGGAAUUUGGGCAAUGGGCGAAAGCCUGACCCAGCAACGCCGCGUGAAGGAUGAAGUAUUUCGGUAUGUAAACUUCGAAAGAAUAAGGAAAGAAUAAAAUGAACGGUAACUAUUUAAUAAAGGUACCGGAUAACUAACGUGCCAGCAAGCCGACGGU
Molecule: ribosomal RNA, 494 nt
Filed under: uncultured soil bacterium
Lineage: Bacteria
Description: bacterial SSU rRNA
Rfam family: Bacterial small subunit ribosomal RNA
Source: RNAcentral